GUUUUUAAUUGCUUAAAAUUGAAUCUUGUAUAGGUUCCCUAUGUAAAACAUCCAGAUUUUUCUCCCUUUUAACAUGUUUUUACUGAGUGAAUUGUUUAAACGGGUUUUUAAAUCCUCUUUUUUCCUUAGGUUGAUUUUUCUGUGACAUAGUAAUCAACUUAAUUUAAUCAUUUUGUGUUUUCAAAUUUAAUUUUUUUUUUUUCAAAUUGGAACAUAAGAUAUUUCCUAAAUCUAGUCUAGAUUUAGAUCCACUAGAAGUUUUCAUUUUUAAUUUUCAUUAUCCAAAAUUUAUUAGAUUUUUUAUGCAUGUCAUAAAUUAAAAGGGCAUGCAUUUCUCUUAAGUAAUGUCAUGGUCUGCAAUUUAAUGAUGGACUGCAAAUAGUUAUACUAAAUUGAGUUAUGCUACAAAACAAAUAGUGAUUAUUAAUUAGUACCAUACAUUAAAUUUGCCAUUUUUAUUUUUUUAUUUUUUUUUGUGAAUAGUGGAUUGAUAAAAGUUUAUCUAUAUUAGCAAAAAACAAUUAAGUUGAUUAGAGUCUGGCUUCAAAACGAUAGCCAUUGUUUUAGUUUGUGUACAGUCUGAGAAACACUGCUUUAGGAUGUACAUAACUGGGCAUUACAUUUGCUGUUUAUUCAUUCAUUGAUUGUACAGUCAUAUGUCACAAUUGUCAUUACUGUUCUUUGCAUGGCACAUUGGCUUAAGAAGGCUUAAUUUGACAAUGUUUAUUAAAAUAGUUCUACAUCAACUCAAAA
Biomphalaria pfeifferi is the source of this 753-nucleotide non-coding RNA. The record is from the annotation of a GenBank genome assembly. Lineage: Eukaryota; Metazoa; Mollusca; Gastropoda; Planorbidae.